GCUCCUGUAGUGUAGUCCGGCCAAGCAUAUGUGGUUUUCGUCCACAUGACCCGGGUUCAAAUCCCGGCGGGAGCA
RNAcentral lists this transfer RNA (75 nucleotides) under Candidatus Woesearchaeota archaeon. Its description in RNAcentral is "tRNA-Glu". It matches the Rfam family "tRNA". Rfam says of the family: Transfer RNA (tRNA) molecules are approximately 80 nucleotides in length. Their secondary structure includes four short double-helical elements and three loops (D, anti-codon, and T loops). Further hydrogen bonds mediate the characteristic L-shaped molecular structure. tRNAs have two regions of fundamental functional importance: the anti-codon, which is responsible for specific mRNA codon recognition, and the 3' end, to which the tRNAs corresponding amino acid is attached (by aminoacyl-tRNA synthetases). tRNAs cope with the degeneracy of the genetic code in two manners: having more than one tRNA (with a specific anti-codon) for a particular amino acid; and 'wobble' base-pairing, i.e. permitting non-standard base-pairing at the 3rd anti-codon position. The record is from RNAcentral. Lineage: Archaea; Nanobdellati; Candidatus Woesearchaeota.